GCUGACACAUCCCUGCCAAUCUCCGGCAGACCCUCCCUCCCAGACCCUCCUACUUCCUGGACAGCAUCCAUGUUGAAGGCAGCUUCAACAUGGAUGCUGUCCAGGAUGUGGGAGAGUCUGGGAGGGAGGGUCUGCCGGAGAUUGGCAGCGAUGUGUUAG
Molecule: microRNA precursor, 159 nt
Filed under: Pelobates cultripes (western spadefoot toad)
Lineage: Eukaryota; Metazoa; Chordata; Amphibia; Anura; Pelobatidae
Source: RNAcentral